GGGAAGUACAGACACGAAGAGGGGGAGGUGCCAAGCAUCCAGAGGUGGCAGAACGGAAAGAUGGAUGGUGUGCCGUAGUGCCUGGGUCCUUCCUGGUUUCUGCUGGAAGAGGUCAGGGAACUCAAAGAAGAUAGUCUUCAGAUCACCCACUUGGACUUAAGCCACUUGAAGUUGAAGAUUUGUGCACAUCCGUCGUCUUGACUGGAACCUGUUGCGACCCCGACUUCACAGAAGAAGUUUCCCACGUCUCUGCGCACCUGCCACGGGCCCCCUGGGACCAGCUGACGAGCUGAACGAGCAUCACCUAACGAAAUUAAGGACUGGCCUCCCUUACAAUCACCGUUAAGUAUUGAAAUGCAUAUUUGACACUGACAUCAAAGUAUAGCGUAUAGUAAAGUUUGAAAUACCUGUUUAGGUGAUUUUACUGCUAUUUGUUGUUGUUUUGUUUGUUUUGCGUAUGUUGGUCGGGAAUAGCAAAUUCCCUGACUUUGUAGUUUACGCUGUUAAACUUUAAUUUUUAUGAGACUGAUACAACAAAUUAACUAAGUAACAUAGAGUAGCGUGUCACUAACCAAUAACACAAACUAACCUUCGUUAAAUGGUAGUACUGCCAACCUCUUAUGUUUAGCCAUCGAAAAAUCAUAAUUUCCUUGUAUAAUCUUACAUUAUGCAAAUUAUUGCUUUCAAUUAGCAUGUUACCAUCACAUUAUCAUAAUCAAUAAAUGUAUAUAUUCUUUAAAUCAUUGUCAUGUCCCUGUUAUUUCAAUAAGUUGGGCUUUACUGACGUCUCAAAUUCUGAUUGGCUGUUGAAACUCCAUUCAUCUGAGUAAACCUCACUACACCAUUUUGCAAGCAAUUUGCUCAUAGAGGUGGGUAAGAGAAGCAGGACCUUCUACCCUGGAUGGUAUUCUCGGUAGUGGGCAUGUUGGUCAUACCACCUCUUUUGAGCUUGCUGGGUUUCCUACAGGUUCUUUCUGGCUUCCUCCUAGUACCUCUGUAGGCGAUCUCGCAGCACGUACUGCACAAUCCCCGUCUCUGAUGAGCUUGUAGAAGGACUUUCCCAGCUCUUCUUUAGGAGGUCCAAGGGGCCCUGGAGGGACCACCCAUACACAAGCUCAAAUGGCGAGAAUCCUGUGGAGAUUUGAGGUACUUCUGGGUAGCCGAAUAGCAAACACAGCAGCCACUUGUCCCAGUCUUUCCCGGUGUCAUCCACAAACUUCUUCAGCAUAUUCUUGAGGGUCGGAUUAAACCUUUCUACUAGCCCGUCAGUUUGUGGGUGAUAGGGACCGGUCCGGAUGGCAGCGAUGCCUAGCUGCGUAUGGAGCUGCUUCUUGAGGCGGGACGUGAAGUUUGUACCCUGGUCUGUCAGGAUUUCUGCAGGAAAGCCAACCCUGGAAAACAGCUGAACCAGUCCACUGAUGAUCUUGGGGGUGGUUAUGGAGCGUAGUUGGAAAGCCUCGGGAUACCAGGUGGCAUAGUCACAAAUGAACAAAAUAUAGCUGUACCCAGCACUGCUUUUCUCCAAGGGCCCGACGAUGUCCACGCCAAUGCGCUGGAAUGAUGUGGAAAUCACAGGCAAUGGACACAGAGGAGCUCUGUCUUACCUGCGGGCAGAACUUGUUUUUUGACAUGUGGGGCAUGAUGUGCACUAUGUCUGGACAUCAGUGUACAUGGAGGGACAAAGAAGUGAGAACUUAACCCCAGGUAAGUUUUUUGGCGGGUUAAGGGACCAAACUAUGGAAUGGUGUGUGCGAGGUAUAAUACCAGUGGUCUACAACAAGAGGGCACAAUCAGCCUUUUCUUAUCCCCCCCUUUAAGAUACAAGAUGCAUUUUCAACACACAGCUUCUCCCCACAAUGAUUAGCAAUGUUGGUCCCUCCUGAGCGCUCUGGCACAUGUUUUCAUCAAGGAUCUCUGUACUUUUCUCGGUUCAUCUUUCCUUCAAUCCUGAAUAGUCUUCCAGUUCUGAAAAACAUCUCCACAGCAUGAUGCUGCCACCACCAUGCUUCACCAUAGGGAUGGUAUUGGCCAUGUGAUGAGUGGUGCCUGGUUUCCUCCAGACAUGACGCUUGGCAUUGCGGCCAAAGUGUUCUAUCUUGGUUUCAUCGGACCAGAUAAUCUUGUUUCUCAUGGUCUGAGAGUCCUUUAGGUGCUUUUUAGUAAACCCCAAGCAGGCUGUCACAUGCCUUUCACUGAGGAGUAGCUUCCGUCUGGCCACUCUACCAAAAAAGUCUGAUUGGCGGAGUGCUACAGAGAUGGAUGUCCUUCUGGAAUGUUCUCCCAACCCCACAGAGAAACUCUGGAGCUCUGUCAGAGUGGCCAUCAGGUUCUUGGUCACCUCCCUGACCAAGGCCCUUAUCCCCCGAUUGCUCAGUUUGGCCGAGCGGCCAGCUCUAGGAAGAGUCCUGGUAGUUCCAAACUUCUUGCAUUUAAGGAUUAUGGAGGCCACUGUAUUCUUUGGGACCUUCAAUGCUGCAGAAAUGUUUUUGUACCCUUCCCCAGAACUGUACCUCAACACAAUCCUGUCUCGGAGGUCUACGGACAAUUCCUUCGGCUUCAUUGCUUGAUUUUUGCUCUGACAUGCACUGUCAACUGUGGGAC
Long non-coding RNA from Anguilla anguilla (European eel), 2601 nucleotides. RefSeq lists it as uncharacterized. The record is from RefSeq and is a predicted model, not a curated record. The transcript has 3 exons. Lineage: Eukaryota; Metazoa; Chordata; Actinopteri; Anguilliformes; Anguillidae.